Molecule: long non-coding RNA, 365 nt
Filed under: Oryza brachyantha (malo sina)
Lineage: Eukaryota; Viridiplantae; Streptophyta; Magnoliopsida; Poales; Poaceae
Description: long non-coding RNA (OBRA_LNC000056)
Source: RNAcentral
AACAAGGAGAUAUAUAUUAUGUGUGCACGUACAUAGCAGUGUGUGUGCAGAAGUACAUAAGGACAUAUACAAUUAUAUACUUGCAUAGCAUCAAGAGCAAUCAGCCUUACAUGUCGUCACAGAUUGACUGCUCCUGAUGGUAUGUGUUUUUGAUAUAUAAUCGAUCAUACAGCUAAUUAAGCCCUAUAUACAACAUAUGAAGAUACAUCAAAUCGAUUUAACAUCACACAGGAGACCAAAUAAAAAUCCAAAUUAAUGCAUGCAUGCAUGCAUGCAUGCAUGCAUGCAUGCAUGCUUGCAGCCAAAACUUCACCAUGUGGUCUCUGCAUGAACAAUGAAGACGGUGAACCGUGAACAGCGAAGCG